ACGGAGGGUGCGAGCGUUAAUCGGAAUCACUGGGCGUAAAGCGCACGUAGGCGGUGCUGUAAGUCGGAUGUGAAAGCCCUCGGCUCAACCGGGGAACUGCAUUCGAUACUGCGGUGCUUGAGUGCGGGAGAGGGAGGCGGAAUUCCAGGUGUAGGGGUGAAAUGCGUAGAUAUCGGGAGGAACACCAGUGGCGAAGGCGGCCUCCUGGCCGGCAACUGACGCUGAGGUGCGAAAGCGUGGGGAUCAAACAG
This 251-nucleotide ribosomal RNA is filed under the name uncultured prokaryote. Its description in RNAcentral is "partial 16S rRNA". It matches the Rfam family "Bacterial small subunit ribosomal RNA", at positions 525 to 775 of the family's 1533-position model. The record is from RNAcentral.